Molecule: ribosomal RNA, 445 nt
Filed under: uncultured bacterium
Lineage: Bacteria
Description: partial 16S ribosomal RNA
Rfam family: Bacterial small subunit ribosomal RNA
Source: RNAcentral
GUGAGGAAUAUUGCGCAAUUGAGGCAACUCUGACGCAGCCAUGCCGCGUGCAGGAAGAAGGCGCUACGCGUUGUAAACUGCUUUUAACCGGGAAGAAACCCCAGGACGUGUCCUGGGUUGACGGUACCGGAGGAAUAAGCACCGGCUAACUUCGUGCCAGCAGCCGCGGUAAUACGAAGGGUGCAAGCGUUAUCCGGAUUCAUUGGGUUUAAAGGGUGCGUAGGCGGAGCGUUAAGUCAGUGGUGAAAUCCUGCAGCUUAACUGUAGACUUGCCAUUGAUACUGGCGCUCUUGAGUGCGCUUGAAGUGGGCGGAAUGUGCCGUGUAGCGGUGAAAUGCUUAGAUAUGGCACAGAACACCAAUUGCGAAGGCAGCUCACUAAGGCGAUACUGACGCUGAGGCACGAAAGCGUGGGGAUCGAACAGGAUUAGAUACCCGGGUAGUCC